This 354-nucleotide long non-coding RNA is filed under the name Gossypium raimondii (Peruvian cotton). Its description in RNAcentral is "long non-coding RNA (GRAI_LNC006696)". Lineage: Eukaryota; Viridiplantae; Streptophyta; Magnoliopsida; Malvales; Malvaceae. The record is from RNAcentral.
AAGGAAUGGUAUACUCCUGUCCUUGGUCAUAUUCAUCGCAUUGCCUCCCUGUUCGUGGUGGGUCAGGUGUCACAGACUUUGGAGUCACAGGAUCUACUUUAACAAUCAUUGUAUCAGUUGUUUCAGGUAAAUCUUGCUCAGUUUUAUCACCCUGUUUGGGUUGUUGCUGCUGAUGAAAUAUUUUAGAAAUAACAUACUCCCCAUCUUUUUCAUCCUCCUCAGUUCCUAGAUGAUAUUGGUGCAUCACCCAAUUUGUUUUCUCAGAUUUUCCACCUUUGACAGUGGUCAUAUAGAGAACCAUAAUCUUCUUGCAUCCUUCCUGAACACCAUCCAAAAAGACUGGUUUGGUCCUAC